GGAGGAUGCGAGCGUUAUCCGGAUUUAUUGGGUUUAAAGGGUGCGUAGGCGGAUAGAUAAGUCAGUGGUGAAAUUCUGCAGCUUAACUGUAGACUUGCCGUUGAUACUGUCAGUCUUGAGUAUGGUCAAGGCAGGCGGAAUGUGUAAUGUAGCGGUGAAAUGCUUAGAUAUUACACAGAACACCGAUUGCGAAGGCAGCUUGCUGGGCCAUUACUGACGCUGAUGCACGAAAGCGUGGGGAUCGAACAGGAUUAGAUACCCUGGUAGUCCACGCCGUAAACGAUGAUCACUCGCUGUUGGCGAUACACAGUCAGCGGCUAAGCAAAAGCAUUAAGUGAUCCACCUGGGGAGUACGGCCGCAAGGCUGAAACUCAAAGGAAUUGACGGGGGCCCGCACAAGCGGAGGAACAUGUGGUUUAAUUCGAUGAUACGCGAGGAACCUUACCUGGGCUUAAAUGUAGAGUGCAUUGGUGAGAAAUCAUCAUUUUCUUCGGAACUCUCUGCAAGGUGCUGCAUGGUUGUCGUCAGCUCGUGCCGUGAGGUGUCGGGUUAAGUCCCAUAACGAGCGCAACCCUUAUCGUUAGUUGCCAGCGGGUAAUGCCGGGAACUCUAGCGAAACUGCCGGUGUAAACCGAGAGGAAGGUGGGGAUGACGUCAAAUCAGCACGGCCCUUAUGUCCAGGGCUACACACGUGUUACAAUGGCCGGUACAGAGGGCAGCUACCUGGAGACAGGAUGCGAAUCUCGAAAGCCGGUCUCAGUUCGGAUCGGAGUCUGCAACUCGACUCCGUGAAGCUGGAUUCGCUAGUAAUCGCGCAUCAGCCAUGGCGCGGUAAAUACGUUCCCGGGCCUU
This 852-nucleotide ribosomal RNA is filed under the name uncultured Cytophaga sp. RNAcentral describes it as "bacterial SSU rRNA". It matches the Rfam family "Bacterial small subunit ribosomal RNA", at positions 527 to 1382 of the family's 1533-position model. The record is from RNAcentral. Lineage: Bacteria; Pseudomonadati; Bacteroidota; Cytophagia; Cytophagales; Cytophagaceae.